RNAcentral lists this non-coding RNA (231 nucleotides) under Jeotgalibaca sp. Its description in RNAcentral is "T-box sequence". It matches the Rfam family "T-box leader". Rfam says of the family: Uncharged tRNA acts as the effector for transcription antitermination of genes in the T-box leader family. T-boxes are found upstream of many aminoacyl-tRNA synthetase genes and some amino acid biosynthetic genes usually in Gram-positive bacteria. Lineage: Bacteria; Bacillati; Bacillota; Bacilli; Lactobacillales; Carnobacteriaceae. The record is from RNAcentral.
AUAAAAUCAAUGAUAAAGAGAGUAAAUCAGAGUGUUUUUCUCAAAGCGAGUUGGGGUAGAGUGGAAGCCCAUCAGAAAAUGCUGGUUGAACCGCACUUUAUCGGAUGAAGAGGUGAACCAUGCAGUAGCUUCUUCCGCAGAUCUGGCGUUAACAAAAUGAGGUGGAUAUGUCUAUGAGCAUGUCAACUAGAGUGGUACCGCGGAUUAAUAUACCUUUAACCCGUCUCUUGC